CGGAGGGUGCAAGCGUUAUCCGGAUUCACUGGGUUUAAAGGGUGCGUAGGUGGGCAAGUAAGUCAGUGGUGAAAUCUCCGGGCUUAACCCGGAAACUGCCAUUGAUACUAUUUGUCUUGAAUACUGUGGAGGUCAGCGGAAUAUGUCAUGUAGCGGUGAAAUGCUUAGAUAUGACAUAGAACACCAAUUGCGAAGGCAGCUGGCUACACAAAUAUUGACACUGAGGCACGAAAGCGUGGGGAUCAAACAGGAUUAGAUACCCUGGUAGUCCACGCCCUAAACUAUGGAUACCCGACAUUUGCGAUAAACUGCAAGUGUCUGAGCGAAAGCAUUAAGUAUCCCACCUGGGAAGUACGAUCGCAAGAUUG
RNAcentral lists this ribosomal RNA (368 nucleotides) under uncultured organism. RNAcentral's name for it is "bacterial SSU rRNA". It matches the Rfam family "Bacterial small subunit ribosomal RNA", at positions 526 to 896 of the family's 1533-position model. The record is from RNAcentral.